GGUAGGCAGUCAGAACCAAAGAUCGUAGAGGGACAAGAUAGACCACUCCUCGAAAAACGCGUAGUAUGACGUGUGUGACCGUCGACGCCAUAUUGUUAAGCAUUUAUUGGGCUGUAAUGGCGUCCUCAGCUAAAUCUACAUCUCACUGCUCCGCUAUCAACUGUUCUAAUCGUAAAUCUAAACGACCAGAGCUGUCAUUCUUUAGGUUCCCCAAUAAAAAAGAAAGAUGUCAACAGUGGGUCCAGAAUACUCAUCGACAAGAUCUCCUGCACCGAACUGCAGAGUAUUUGUCAAAUAAACUGCCGUCUUAUGUACAUUGUGUGAAAUUGUGAUUUGUUAACUGCACAAAACUAAUGCAAAUGGCGAUACAUGCCUGCAUUUGGCCCAUACCCCUCUAAACCUGUCCUAACCAUCAAAUAACCUAACAGAACUGUCAUGAGGAAAGAUUUAAAAGACUAGGCUUGUAUUCACUGGAGUUUAGAAGGAUGAGGGGGGAUCUUAUCAUAUUGUUUACAGUGUACUAUGUUUACAGAUUCUGUUGUGCUGCUGAAAGUAAGAAUUUAAUUGUUCUAUCUGGGACAAGCUAGAUGCAGGAAAAUUGUUCUACAUGACAAUAAAACCCUCUUGUUAGAUGCAAGGGGAUCUUAUAGAAACAUCUAAAUGAAUAAAAGGACUGAACAAGCUAGAUACAGGAAAAAUGUUCCCAAUGUUGGGCGAGUCCAGAACCAGGGGCCACAGUCUUAGAACAAAGGGGAGGCCAUUUAAGACUGAGGUGAGAAAAAACUUUUUCACCCAGAGAGUUGUGAAUUUGUGGAAUUCCCUGCCACAGAGGGCAGUGGAGGCCAAAUCACUGGGUGGAUUUAAGAGAGAGUUAGAUAGACCUCUAGGGGCUAGUGGAAUCAAGGGGUAUGGGGAUAAAGGCAUGGGUUAUCGAUUGGGGCUGAUCAGCCAUGAUCACAAUGAAUGGCGGUGUUGGGUCGAAGUGCCAAAUGGCCUCCUCCUGCACCUAUUUUCUAUAUUUCUAAAACACUCAUCCAGCAAUCCUCGAGCCCACCAGCUCAUCCCGUAGUCAAUUCAUCAGCUUUUCCAUAAGAACUUCCAUCAGUUCUUGCAAAAGAAUGACAAUCAGCCAAUCUCGAUUACCCUCAGCCCAUCAAGCAGUCCCUUAAUUCGCACAGAAGUCUGAACUAUUGAAUGCUCACUGCAUCUCUUUCCAUGUCAGCAAGUUAAUAUCCAGCUGCAUAUGAACCAUGUGAAAAAUGAAUAAAUAGAUGCAUGUGGUGCAGUGAUUUGUGCAGCACUAUAGGCCUGGAGACCAAGAGGAGUUCACCAUUGAACGGAGUUUGAACGGGGGGCUUGAGGCCCCCGACCGAGGAAGAACAAAGGGACUUGAACUUUAUUUCGCCUUCCAUCACAGUGAGGAAUGUGUAGGAGUCACUUUGGUGAAUGUCCGUAUUAAAAUGUGUUUUUGAGUGCUGUUGCUUUUAAUUGUAUGACUGACCUGGCCAAUGAAAUUCCUCGUAUAUUGCAAAACAUACUUGGAAAAUAAAAUCUGAUUAUGAUUCUGAAAA
Molecule: long non-coding RNA, 1571 nt
Organism: Leucoraja erinaceus (little skate)
Lineage: Eukaryota; Metazoa; Chordata; Chondrichthyes; Rajiformes; Rajidae
Exons: 2
Source: RefSeq, a predicted model, not a curated record